RNAcentral lists this transfer RNA (71 nucleotides) under Marmota monax (woodchuck). RNAcentral describes it as "tRNA.Ser". It matches the Rfam family "tRNA". Rfam says of the family: Transfer RNA (tRNA) molecules are approximately 80 nucleotides in length. Their secondary structure includes four short double-helical elements and three loops (D, anti-codon, and T loops). The record is from RNAcentral. Lineage: Eukaryota; Metazoa; Chordata; Mammalia; Rodentia; Sciuridae.
GAGAUGGUGGCUCAGCGGUAUAGCACUCACCUCGAACGUGUGAGACCCUGGGUUCCAUCCUCAGCACCACA